GCGGGCAUAGUUUAAUGGCAAAACCUUAGCCUUCCAAGUUAAUAAUGGGGGUUCGAUUCCCCCUGCCCGCA
Molecule: transfer RNA, 71 nt
Filed under: Climaconeis sp.
Lineage: Eukaryota; Bacillariophyta; Bacillariophyceae; Naviculales; Amphipleuraceae
Description: tRNA-Gly
Rfam family: tRNA
About the family: Transfer RNA (tRNA) molecules are approximately 80 nucleotides in length.
Source: RNAcentral